AGGAUGAACGCUAGCUACAGGCUUAACACAUGCAAGUCGAGGGGCAGCGGGAUUGAAGCUUGCUUCAAUUGCCGGCGGACCGGCGCACGGGUGAGUAACACGUAUCCAACCUGCCGUCUACUCUUGGACAGCCUUCUGAAAGGAAGAUUUAAUACAAGAUGGCAUCAUGAGUCCGCAUGUUCACAUGAUUAAAGGUAUUCCGGUAGACGAUGGGGAUGCGUUCCAUUAGAUAGUAGGCGGGGUAACGGCCCACCUAGUCUUCGAUGGAUAGGGGUUCUGAGAGGAAGGUCCCCCACAUUGGAACUGAGACACGGUCCAAACUCCUACGGGAGGCAGCAGUGAGGAAUAUUGGUCAAUGGGCGAGAGCCUGAACCAGCCAAGUAGCGUGAAGGAUGACUGCCCUAUGGGUUGUAAACUUCUUUUAUAAAGGAAUAAAGUCGGGUAUGGAUACCCGUUUGCAUGUACUUUAUGAAUAAGGAUCGGCUAACUCCGUG
Molecule: ribosomal RNA, 494 nt
Filed under: uncultured bacterium
Lineage: Bacteria
Description: bacterial SSU rRNA
Rfam family: Bacterial small subunit ribosomal RNA
Source: RNAcentral